GUGGCUAUGGUGUAGUGGUUAACACUGCUCCCUGUGGAGGAGCCGUCGCCGGUUCGAAUCCGACUAGCCACC
Molecule: transfer RNA, 72 nt
Filed under: Candidatus Nealsonbacteria bacterium CG_4_10_14_0_8_um_filter_37_14
Lineage: Bacteria; Candidatus Nealsoniibacteriota
Also listed under: 3 other names
Description: tRNA-His
Rfam family: tRNA
About the family: Transfer RNA (tRNA) molecules are approximately 80 nucleotides in length. Their secondary structure includes four short double-helical elements and three loops (D, anti-codon, and T loops). Further hydrogen bonds mediate the characteristic L-shaped molecular structure. tRNAs have two regions of fundamental functional importance: the anti-codon, which is responsible for specific mRNA codon recognition, and the 3' end, to which the tRNAs corresponding amino acid is attached (by aminoacyl-tRNA synthetases). tRNAs cope with the degeneracy of the genetic code in two manners: having more than one tRNA (with a specific anti-codon) for a particular amino acid; and 'wobble' base-pairing, i.e. permitting non-standard base-pairing at the 3rd anti-codon position.
Source: RNAcentral